GACGUAGGUGGCGAGCGUUAUUCGGAAUCACUAGGCGUAAAGCGCGUGUAGGCGGGUGCUUAAGUCCGUAGUGGAAUCUCCCGGCUCAACCGGGAGGGGUCUGCGGAUACUGGGCGCCUUGAGUUAGGCAGGGGGGACUGGAAUUCCCGGUGUAGCGGUGAAAUGCGCAGAUAUCGGGAAGAACACCGGUGGCGAAGGCGGGUCCCUGGGCCUCAACUGACGCUAAGACGCGAAAGCUAGGGGAGCAAACAGG
RNAcentral lists this unclassified non-coding RNA (253 nucleotides) under uncultured Elusimicrobia bacterium. Its description in RNAcentral is "contains 16S-23S intergenic spacer region". It matches the Rfam family "Bacterial small subunit ribosomal RNA", at positions 524 to 776 of the family's 1533-position model. The record is from RNAcentral. Lineage: Bacteria; Pseudomonadati; Elusimicrobiota; Elusimicrobia.